Molecule: non-coding RNA, 31 nt
Filed under: Rattus norvegicus (Norway rat)
Lineage: Eukaryota; Metazoa; Chordata; Mammalia; Rodentia; Muridae
Source: RNAcentral
UCAUCUGACAGAGAAAUGUCUCUCCAUUGGC